Molecule: ribosomal RNA, 117 nt
Organism: Danio rerio (zebrafish)
Lineage: Eukaryota; Metazoa; Chordata; Actinopteri; Cypriniformes; Danionidae
Source: Ensembl
GUUGGCAGCUAGCUCUCUGCAACUCUCACAUGGUCAUCCACAGAAGCUAAGCAGGGCUGCCUGCAGGGUCAGUACCUGGAUGGGAGACCUUAUGGGAAAUCUAGGUUGCUGCCGGAG